RNAcentral lists this long non-coding RNA (466 nucleotides) under Pan troglodytes (chimpanzee). RNAcentral's name for it is "long non-coding RNA NONPTRT011401". Lineage: Eukaryota; Metazoa; Chordata; Mammalia; Primates; Hominidae. The record is from RNAcentral.
GGGCGGGGUGCGCGGGCGCCGUCGCCGGGUCUGGGGCCCUGAGCAGUGAAAGGAAAUACUUUGACAGAUUUCCAAGAACUUUCCAGGAAAACGGGGCGGGGCCCCGCGAGCUGACCAAUCGCGACGCUGAAGGUGGAGCCGAGCGGUCGGGGAGGGCCAAUAGCAGCGCGUGGACCAGGGGCUGAAGCUACCCAGCGGGGCAGGGAGUACUUGCUGCAUUUGAUCCUCUACAACUGGUGUUGCUCCCGUUAUGCGGACAGAAGACAGCCCCAGGGAACAAAUGCUAGGAAAUGGCAGGGUGAGAAAACUGAGGCAUAGAGAGGUUACAAUAUAACUUAGAUCUCCCAGCUGGCAAGUAAUGGUUUAAGCCAGGAGCCUACACACUUCCUCCUACUUCCUCUAUGGGUGCUGGUGAUCUGCCGACUCCUAGACAUCCAGCUUUAAGGUCCUCAGUGAAGCUUCUCUG